UACGGGGGGGGCAAGCGUUGUUCGGAAUUACUGGGCGUAAAGGGUUCGUAGGUGGCCAACUAAGUCGGACGUGAAAUCCCUCAGCUUAACUGGGGAACUGCGUCUGAUACUGGUUGGCUUGAGUGCAGGAGAGGAACGCGGAAUUCCAGGUGUAGCGGUGAAAUGCGUAGAUAUCUGGAGGAACACCGGUGGCGAAGGCGGCAUCCUGGACCGGCAUUGACGCUGAGGCGCGAAAGCCAGGGGAGCAAACGGG
RNAcentral lists this ribosomal RNA (253 nucleotides) under uncultured bacterium. RNAcentral's name for it is "partial 16S ribosomal RNA". It matches the Rfam family "Bacterial small subunit ribosomal RNA", at positions 524 to 776 of the family's 1533-position model. The record is from RNAcentral.